UAUCGGCGUCUCCACAUUUCACAAACCCCGAUCGCUAGCACUCAAUGAUCGAGUCGAGUGGCGGACAGGUCUCUCUCUCUCUCUUCUCUCUCUCUCUCUCUCUCUCUCUCUCUCUCUCUCUCUACACCUCCGACUUCCACAGGCUCCCGCCGCCGGGCACCAACGCCAGCCACUUGUUGAAGGAGCCGUCCCGUCACACCCUCAAGCUGGGGCUGAUGCCGUGCGGCCUCCUCGCGCGGCUCCACCUCUCCCACGCGGCCCUCAAGUGCCUGGCGGCAAAGCUCUUCUUCCUCAGCGUCCUAGAAGACUACGCGUACGUCAUACGUUUUCAUUUCGUAGAAGUCCACCUGGAAGGUCGGUAGUUCGAACGUCUGUCACGUGUUCAGUGUCUUCUCUGAAAUGAUUGUAGUAACUCCGCUACGGAAUCGGUCGUAAGACGAGAUGUUCGUGUACUACCCGUAACCCGGCCCCUGAAGUCACCUUAAAACAAGUAAUACGGGUAGAACUAUAAACGAGAUGUACAAUGACCUAGUGAGUUAUGACAGGAUAGUUGUCUUGUAGCUGUACUCUAAACAGCGAUAUAAAUGUUGGUAGUCUUACUUCUACCACCAACCCCGUGCGUUCACGACCCAGGCUCGUGGUACAAACCUAGUACGAAUUUGAUACAAUGGAAUUCCGAAGAACCGCUCCACCUUUUACUACGGAAUUGGUUCCCUGUACGAACCUAAGAUAACGCGCCUUCACGUUGACGUUAUGGUGUUACCCCUUUCUAUACCGAGAGCCACCAACCAAAUAUACUUACCAGACCUUUAUUAAGCUAGUAAGGACUCAAUACCGAACAGGGCGUAAAAGAAGGCUAAGUAGGUCCUGCUAAGACCACGAAAACGGCCAACCAAAUAUACGGUUACAGAAUAGAAAUGCCAUUCUUCAAACAACCGGGUUAAUGUGGUUGUUAUCACCGUUAUUCUCUCCUCGAGAUAUCACAAAGUAUGUCGCUCUAACUAACCUUGUUUCGUGCACUAUGAACACGAUUCCUUCUGGAAGCGAUAGGUGCCAGCAACGACGUUUUACAAUAAACCUGAACAGAAUUAUUUAAACAUCUCGGUCACAACUUAACAACCGGUUAGUUAUUCAACUCUCUAUGUCGCGACUUCUUGGAGUACUUUGUAUAUGUAAUACUUCUACUUUCGUGAUUUAUGUAACCGCAUACAGGCUAAUUGUUCCGUGAUCUAUACUAAACAACAACCUCGCUCCUAGGUUUAAGUCUACGUGACUUCAACGUAGAAGGUUCCUAGAUACUGAUAAAUACCGAACGUCUUCUACCGUACUUUCGUGUCCAAAUACUACCAACAGUUUCGACCCUCGAACGAAAAUAACAAGUUCGUAUAACGAGCUGUCUGGAACAGUUACUCAAACCAGGUUGUGAAGCCUUUCGGGUACUCAAGUAAUUUUCAAGUGUCCAAGAACUCUUGGUAGGAUUGUCACUUCGAAUAAUGGCGGUAUCCAGUUUUCCAAGUACCUGUGAAAGUUGUCGCCUAUUGCCCACCAGACAUAGUCUAACAUGACGUCUUCGUGAAUUCCGUAACAACAACAACAGCUUCUAGAGAGGAUUAGAACACCCCCCAGGGUACUUUCCUCUUUCCAACGUACUACGUCAGCUAACGAAUGAAAGAAAAUACUUAUUUCUACCGUGUAAAAGAUGUAUACUCACAUUCUCUUGAUGUAGAGAUAAUCUCCACUCAUAAAGUGCCAAAAUGAAGAUAACAUACCUUUUGGUUCAUACGGUUAAAAAACGCCUGAGAUGCACACUAGUCCAAAUUUUUUGGCCAAAUUUUUUGGUAUGUGUUUUAUUAGAACGUCAGUCCGGUUUGUUAAAGUCUAACGUUUAAGUGUUAAACGUCCAAAGUAAAACAAACUGAAAACAAACGAGUAGCCAUAAGGAGGACACAUAGUAUAUAGAUAGCUCUUACAAGUUUACUAUUACAACAAAAUUGUACAAAAAGGACUGAUAUGUAUGUGAUUGGACCUAACAAAAACCGUUAUCCAAGAGUUGGGAAGACUUUCAAAAGACUUGUAAUAACAGCUAAUAGGCAUUCCUACUUUUAUAUAGAAGAAAGAACGUCUUUUAUAGUAACAGAGACAAAAAGAAGUAUAUGAACUUCACGAUUAAGUGCGGGAAGUUGAUUAACUAUCUAGACAGCUUACAUGUAGUAGGCACGAAGUCCGGAAUUAAUACAAGUUUCUCGAAAUGGGUCCCAUGGCGUUUCUUCUCUAUCCUUUUACAUAAUUUUUACGAAGGUUCAAGUAACUCCUGUUCGUUUCUUUCCUACCGAGUACCAAACCGUGAACCCCAUAUACAAAGUGAAUACCCUGCAAGAAACCACAUUUUCCUAACUAACGAAGACCUUCUUGAAUGCUUUUAUCAAGAAGGUAUUCCUUUCGUACGUUAAAAGACAACAGUUUCGUUGCUUCAUGUCCACCUACCCCUCUCAGCAUAGAAAGAUCACUUUGACUCCGAAUACACCUCCGGUGAUCAGGAGUACGACACUUGUGACGAACCCGUUACAACCGAAAUUAAAUACGACCCGUCCAACUUGCUCUAGGAUGCGGUGAUAUAGUACGACGUUUUCUCAACUAGUUAUACGUUGAUCUCUGCCCUCUCAAAGGGGUCGUUCUUGUGCAACCUACGAAGUUGACGAGGUAUAUGAAAUUAAUGCCGUUGAUAGCGUUGAAUAUGGGGUAAACCCGAGAACCUCUCAAAGCAGCAGCUGACGAACGCUUCUUGACUUUGACUACUGCUACUAUACAGUGAAGUGACGAAUCCAAAUCCACACCAGCACGGACAUUGCUUUUCCUCCUGGAAUCGGUUUGAUAUAUAUACACACAUGGUGUAUGACGUUAUUGUGAAUGUUGGUUUCACUCAUUACGUUUGUAUUAUCGCGGUCAUACCAAACAUGUAGAUACAAAACCUGACGUUACCGUACAGUUAAUGAAACGAGGCACACCAUAGUUCUAAAAUUAGUGCCGGGUUUGA
RNAcentral lists this ribosomal RNA (3034 nucleotides) under Triticum aestivum (bread wheat). Its description in RNAcentral is "partial small subunit ribosomal RNA". The record is from RNAcentral. Lineage: Eukaryota; Viridiplantae; Streptophyta; Magnoliopsida; Poales; Poaceae.